This 253-nucleotide ribosomal RNA is filed under the name uncultured bacterium. Its description in RNAcentral is "partial 16S ribosomal RNA". It matches the Rfam family "Bacterial small subunit ribosomal RNA", at positions 524 to 776 of the family's 1533-position model. The record is from RNAcentral.
UACAGAGGGUGCAAGCGUUGUUCGGAAUUAUUGGGCGUAAAGAGCUCGUAGGCGGUUUGUCGCGUCGGCCGUGAAAUCUCCACGCUUAACGUGGAGCGUGCGGUCGAUACGGGCAGACUUGAGUUCGGUAGGGGAGACUGGAAUUCCUGGUGUAGCGGUGAAAUGCGCAGAUAUCUGGAGGAACACCGGUGGCGAAGGCGGCAUCCUGGACCGACACUGACGCUGAGGCGCGAAAGCUAGGGUAGCAAACGGG